Molecule: ribosomal RNA, 267 nt
Filed under: uncultured bacterium
Lineage: Bacteria
Description: partial 16S ribosomal RNA
Rfam family: Bacterial small subunit ribosomal RNA
Source: RNAcentral
GUCCACGCCGUAAACGAUGGAUGCUAGCCGUUGGCAGGCUUGCCUGUCAGUGGCGCAGCUAACGCAUUAAGCAUCCCGCCUGGGGAGUACGGUCGCAAGAUUAAAACUCAAAGGAAUUGACGGGGGCCCCGCACAAGCGGUGGAGCAUGUGGUUCAAUUCGAAGCAACGCGAAGAACCUUACCAACCUUUGACAUGUCCCGUAUGGGUUUCAGAGAUGAGAUCCUUCAGUUCGGCUGGCGGGAACACAGGUGCUGCAUGGCUGUCGU